This 510-nucleotide ribosomal RNA is filed under the name uncultured bacterium. RNAcentral's name for it is "partial 16S ribosomal RNA". It matches the Rfam family "Bacterial small subunit ribosomal RNA", at positions 28 to 507 of the family's 1533-position model. The record is from RNAcentral.
GACGAACGCUGGCGGCGUGCUUAACACAUGCAAGUCGAACGAAGAGCGAUGGAAGCUUGCUUCUAUCAAUCUUAGUGGCGCACGGGUGAGUAACGCGUAAUCAACCUGCCCUUCAGAGGGGGACAACAGUUGGAAACGACUGCUAAUACCGCAUACGAUCUAAUCUCGGCAUCGAGGAUAGAUGAACGGUGGCCUCUACAUGUAAGCUAUCACUGAAGGAGGGGAUUGCGUCUGAUUAGCUAGUUGGAGGGGUAACGGCCCACCAAGGCGAUGAUCAGUAGCCGGUCUGAGAGGAUGAACGGCCACAUUGGGACUGAGACACGGCCCAGACUCCUACGGGAGGCAGCAGUGGGGAAUCUUCCGCAAUGGACGAAAGUCUGACGGAGCAACGCCGCGUGAGUGAUGACGGCCUUCGGGUUGUAAAGCUCUGUUAAUCGGGACGAAAGGCCUUCUUGCGAAUAGUGAGAAGGAUUGACGGUACCGGAAUAGAAAGCCACGGCUAACUACGUG